RNAcentral lists this long non-coding RNA (1210 nucleotides) under Monodelphis domestica (gray short-tailed opossum). RNAcentral describes it as "lncRNA (ENSMODG00000044672.1)". Lineage: Eukaryota; Metazoa; Chordata; Mammalia; Didelphimorphia; Didelphidae. The record is from RNAcentral.
CAAGAGUGAAGAAAAUUCAGUUGAAAGAAUUUAUUUCCCAUUCCCAAACCUUGGGAGCUUUGAAUAAGACUGACCUUAGGAGAGGAUAUGUGGUUGGCUUUAGCUAUAGAGGUAGAGGCCUCACUUGGAUGUCCAUAGGACCUGGGCUGGGCUGAUUGACAGUUGUUGACAUUGAUGAAGAGGAUCAUAAGAUCAUCUAUUCAGAGUCUGAAGGAGACUUGGAAAGUAUUUUGUACAUAGUGAGACCUUAACACUUGUUUGUGAAUUAAAUUAAGAUGACAUGCUAGAAAUUGGGCUUAAUGCAGAUUACUCAGGCAGAAUAUGUGAAAUAAAUUGGAGCAAAGAGGACUUAGUAGAAGCAGAGAGAUUAAUACAGAAAUAAAAGGCAAUGGGGGCCCGAGCUAAGGUGGUGGUUCAUAAAUAGAGAACUCAGAAGUCUCAUCAUUUUAGCUUAAGCUAAUAUCUUCCUUCCUUCCUUCCUUCCUUCCUUCCUUCCUUCCUUCCUUCCUUCCUUCCUUCCUUCCUUCCUUCCUUCCUUUCUUUCUUACUUUCUUUCUUUCUUUCUUUCUUUCUUUCUUUCUUACUUCCUUUCUUCCUUCCCCUUUCUUUCUUUCUUUCUUUCUUUCUUUCUUUCUUUCUUUCUUUCUUUCUUUCUUUCUUUCUUUCUUUCUUUCUUUCUUUCUUUCUUUCUUUCUUUCUUUCUUUCUUCCUUCCUUCCUUCCUUCCAUACUUCCUUCCUUUCUUCUUUCUUUCUUUCUUUCUUUCUUUCUUUCUUUCUUUCUUUCUUUCUUUCUUUCUUUCUUUCUUUCUUUCUUUCUUUCUUUCUUUCUUUCUUUCUUUCUUUCUUUCUUUCUUUCUUUCUUUCUUUCUUUCUUUCUUUCUUUCUUUCUUUCUUCUGUCUCACAAUACAUACUAGUAUCAGGGACAAGGCAAAAAAGUAGUUAGGAUUAGGCAAUUGGGAUUAAGUACCUUGCCCAGGAAUGUACAGCUAGGAAAUGUCUGAGGCUAGAUUUGAACCCAGGUCUUCCAGACCUAGCUGUCUAUCCACUGUGCCACCUAGCUGUCCCAUGAAAGGUUGUAAACAUUUAUAUUUUAAUAUUUGAUAAUUGAUCCUGGAAACAAUAGGGAAAACCAUCUUUCUAAAACCAUUUGUGCCUCUGUGACCAGCCCCCCUCCCCAUAGAGAAUUUCCAUGCUCCCCCAGCUCUCAC